UACGUAGGGUGCAAGCGUUGUCCGGAAUUAUUGGGCGUAAAGAGCUCGUAGGCGGUUUGUCGCGUCUGCUGUGAAAGCCCGAGGCUCAACCUCGGGUCUGCAGUGGGUACGGGCAGACUGGAGUGCGGUAGGGGAGAUUGGAAUUCCUGGUGUAGCGGUGGAAUGCGCAGAUAUCAGGAGGAACACCGAUGGCGAAGGCAGAUCUCUGGGCCGUUACUGACGCUGAGGAGCGAAAGCAUGGGGAGCGAACAGGAUUA
This 257-nucleotide ribosomal RNA is filed under the name uncultured prokaryote. Its description in RNAcentral is "partial 16S ribosomal RNA". It matches the Rfam family "Bacterial small subunit ribosomal RNA", at positions 524 to 780 of the family's 1533-position model. The record is from RNAcentral.